GACGAACGCUGGCGGCGUGCUUAACACAUGCAAGUCGAACGGUAAGGCCCUUCGGGGUACACGAGUGGCGAACGGGUGAGUAACACGUGGGUGAUCUGCCCUGCACUUCGGGAUAAGCCUGGGAAACUGGGUCUAAUACCGGAUAGGACCACUGCCUGCAUGGGUGGUGGUGGAAAGCUUUUGCGGUGUGGGAUGGGCCCGCGGCCUAUCAGCGUGUUGGUGGGGUGAUGGCCUACCAAGGCGACGACGGGUAGCCGGCCUGAGAGGGUGACCGGCAACACUGGGACUGGGAGACGGCCCAGACGCCUACGGGAGGCAGCAGUGGGGAAUAUUGCACAAUGGGCGCAAGCCUGAUGCAGCGACGCCGCGUGAGGGAUGACGGCCUUCGGGUUGUAAACCUCGUUCAGCACCGACGAAGCGCAAGUGACGGUAGGUGCAGAAGAAGGACCGGCCAACUACGUGCCAGCCGCCGCGGUAA
Molecule: ribosomal RNA, 478 nt
Filed under: uncultured bacterium
Lineage: Bacteria
Description: partial 16S ribosomal RNA
Rfam family: Bacterial small subunit ribosomal RNA
Source: RNAcentral